RNAcentral lists this ribosomal RNA (492 nucleotides) under uncultured bacterium. Its description in RNAcentral is "partial 16S ribosomal RNA". It matches the Rfam family "Bacterial small subunit ribosomal RNA", at positions 29 to 507 of the family's 1533-position model. The record is from RNAcentral.
AGUGAACGCUGGCGGUAGGCCUAACACAUGCAAGUCGAACGGCAGCACAGUAAGAGCUUGCUCUUACGGGUGGCGAGUGGCGGACGGGUGAGGAAUACAUCGGAAUCUACUUUUUCGUGGGGGAUAACGUAGGGAAACUUACGCUAAUACCGCAUACGACCUACGGGUGAAGGCAGGGGAUCUUCGGACCUUGCGCGAUUGAAUGAGCCGAUGUCGGAUUAGCUAGUUGGCGGGGUAAAGGCCCACCAAGGCGACGAUCCGUAGCUGGUCUGAGAGGAUGAUCAGCCACACUGGAACUGAGACACGGUCCAGACUCCUACGGGAGGCAGCAGUGGGGAAUAUUGGACAAUGGGCGCAAGCCUGAUCCAGCCAUACCGCGUGGGUGAAGAAGGCCUUCGGGUUGUAAAGCCCUUUUGUUGGGAAAGAAAAGCAGCAGGUUAAUACCCCGCUGUUCUGACGGUACCCAAAGAAUAAGCACCAGCUAACUUCGUG